RNAcentral lists this long non-coding RNA (245 nucleotides) under Elaeis guineensis (African oil palm). RNAcentral describes it as "long non-coding RNA (EGUI_LNC070603)". The record is from RNAcentral. Lineage: Eukaryota; Viridiplantae; Streptophyta; Magnoliopsida; Arecales; Arecaceae.
UCGGACCAUCCUAGGUUAGUUCUGAAACCCUUCUUUUUCUUGUUGUUCUUCCGUUUUUCCUCCUCUGCAUUCCACCCGUUCGGUUUCUCCGCGAGCACCUUGUUUUCAAUUUUUCUCAAUUUUUUUUGAGAUUUUUUGGGGUUUUCAUUUGAUUCAAAAUAUCCUCCAACACUUCCUCCUCUAGCAGUUCUAGAAGUUCGUCAGCUCCAGCCUCCCAAAAUCCUAGUACUGUAGAUGAACCCGCA